GAAAUGCGAUAAGUAAUGUGAAUUGCAGAAUUCAGUGAAUCAUCGAAUCUUUGAACGCACCUUGCGCUCCUUGGUAUUCCUUGGAGCAUGCCUGUUUGAGUAUCAUGAAAUCUUCAAAGUAAAUCUUUUGUUAACUCAAUUGGUUUCUACUUUGGUAUUGGAGGUCUUUGCAGCUUCACACCUGCUCCUCUUUGUUCAUUAGCUGGAUCUCAGUGUUAUGCUUGGUUCCACUCGGCGUGAUAAGUUAUCUAUCGCUGAGGACACUGUAAAAGGUGGCCAAGGUAAAUGCAGAUGAACCGCUUCUAAUAGUCCAUUGACUUGGACAAUACUUUUAUGAUCUGAUCUCAAAUCAGGUAGGACUACCCGCUGAACUUAGC
This 377-nucleotide unclassified non-coding RNA is filed under the name plant metagenome. RNAcentral's name for it is "partial contains 5.8S ribosomal RNA, internal transcribed spacer 2, and large subunit ribosomal RNA". The stretch from base 1 to 105 matches the Rfam family "5.8S ribosomal RNA", at positions 50 to 154 of the family's 154-position model. The record is from RNAcentral.